This 77-nucleotide transfer RNA is filed under the name Microcoleus sp. CSU_2_2. RNAcentral describes it as "tRNA-Leu". It matches the Rfam family "tRNA". From Rfam's summary of the family: Transfer RNA (tRNA) molecules are approximately 80 nucleotides in length. Their secondary structure includes four short double-helical elements and three loops (D, anti-codon, and T loops). Further hydrogen bonds mediate the characteristic L-shaped molecular structure. tRNAs have two regions of fundamental functional importance: the anti-codon, which is responsible for specific mRNA codon recognition, and the 3' end, to which the tRNAs corresponding amino acid is attached (by aminoacyl-tRNA synthetases). tRNAs cope with the degeneracy of the genetic code in two manners: having more than one tRNA (with a specific anti-codon) for a particular amino acid; and 'wobble' base-pairing, i.e. permitting non-standard base-pairing at the 3rd anti-codon position. The record is from RNAcentral. Lineage: Bacteria; Bacillati; Cyanobacteriota; Cyanophyceae; Oscillatoriales; Microcoleaceae. RNAcentral also lists the same sequence under 1 other name.
GUUUACAUACUAGCCUAAUUGGUCAGGCCCUUGGCUUAAACCCAAGUAUAUGCAGGUUCAAAUCCUGUGUGUGAACA